This is a non-coding RNA of Urocitellus parryii (Arctic ground squirrel), 429 nucleotides long. Lineage: Eukaryota; Metazoa; Chordata; Mammalia; Rodentia; Sciuridae. The record is from the annotation of a RefSeq genome assembly.
AUGGACCUUCAGGCUCAAAUUGUCAGCUUUCUGCUGCUCAGWGUCACAGUGUCCAGUGGAGAAAUUGUGCUCACGCAGUCUCCAGGGUCACUGGCUGCUUCCCAAGGGGAGAGGGUCACCAAGACCUGCACAGCCAGCUCCAGUGUAAGCACCAGCUACUUGCACUGGUACCAACAGAAGCUGGGGUCCUCUCCACAGCUACUGAUCUAUAGAACAUCCACCCUAGCCUCUGGAGUCCCGGUGCGCUUCAGUGGCAGUGGGUCUGGGACCUCCUACUUGCUCACGAUCAGCAGUGUGGAGGCUGAAGAUGUCACUACCUUCUACCUUCAGUGGGACAGCUCUCCACCCACAUGGUGCUACAGACUGCAACARAAACCCCUUGAGCUCCUUGGGCCAGCUGCUUCCCCCUCAGAGCCUGGCAAGGUCUAG